RNAcentral lists this microRNA precursor (106 nucleotides) under Marmota monax (woodchuck). Lineage: Eukaryota; Metazoa; Chordata; Mammalia; Rodentia; Sciuridae. The record is from RNAcentral.
AUUCGAUUCAUCUUGGACUCUUGUUAAAAAUACAGAACAUGAUUCAGCAGGCCAAGUGCCAGGAUGCAUAUUUUGUAGUUUUAACAAAUCUCUAGGUGAUGCUAAU